RNAcentral lists this ribosomal RNA (1346 nucleotides) under uncultured bacterium. RNAcentral describes it as "partial 16S ribosomal RNA". It matches the Rfam family "Bacterial small subunit ribosomal RNA", at positions 28 to 1381 of the family's 1533-position model. The record is from RNAcentral.
GACGAACGCUGGCGGCGUGCUUAACAUAUGCAAGUCGAACGGAAAGGCCCUGCUUUUGUGGGGUGCUCGAGUGGCGAACGGGUGAGUAACACGUGAGUAACCUGCCCUUGACUUUGGGAUAACUUCAGGAAACUGGGGCUAAUACCGGAUAGGAGCUCCUGCUGCAUGGUGGGGGUUGGAAAGUUUCGGCGGUUGGGGAUGGACUCGCGGCUUAUCAGCUUGUUGGUGGGGUAGUGGCUUACCAAGGCUUUGACGGGUAGCCGGCCUGAGAGGGUGACCGGCCACAUUGGGACUGAGAUACGGCCCAGACUCCUACGGGAGGCAGCAGUGGGGAAUAUUGCACAAUGGGCGGAAGCCUGAUGCAGCAACGCCGCGUGCGGGAUGACGGCCUUCGGGUUGUAAACCGCUUUCGCCUGUGACGAAGCGUGAGUGACGGUAAUGGGUAAAGAAGCACCGGCUAACUACGUGCCAGCAGCCGCGGUGAUACGUAGGGUGCGAGCGUUGUCCGGAUUUAUUGGGCGUAAAGGGCUCGUAGGUGGUUGAUCGCGUCGGAAGUGUAAUCUUGGGGCUUAACCCUGAGCGUGCUUUCGAUACGGGUUGACUUGAGGAAGGUAGGGGAGAAUGGAAUUCCUGGUGGAGCGGUGGAAUGCGCAGAUAUCAGGAGGAACACCAGUGGCGAAGGCGGUUCUCUGGGCCUUUCCUGACGCUGAGGAGCGAAAGCGUGGGGAGCGAACAGGCUUAGAUACCCUGGUAGUCCACGCUGUAAACGGUGGGUACUAGGUGUGGGGUCCAUUCCACGGGUUCCGUGCCGUAGCUAACGCUUUAAGUACCCCGCCUGGGGAGUACGGCCGCAAGGCUAAAACUCAAAGGAAUUGACGGGGCCCCGCACAAGCGGCGGAGCAUGCGGAUUAAUUCGAUGCAACGCGUAGAACCUUACCUGGGUUUGACAUGGAUCGGGAGUGCUCAGAGAUGGGUGUGCCUCUUUUGGGGUCGGUUCACAGGUGGUGCAUGGCUGUCGUCAGCUCGUGUCGUGAGAUGUUGGGUUAAGUCCCGCAACGAGCGCAACCCUUGUUCACUGUUGCCAGCACGUUAUGGUGGGGACUCAGUGGAGACCGCCGGGGUCAACUCGGAGGAAGGUGGGGAUGACGUCAAGUCAUCAUGCCCCUCAUGUCCAGGGCUUCACGCAUGCUACAAUGGCUGGUACAGAGAGUGGCGAGCCUGUGAGGGUGAGCGAAUCUCGGAAAGCCGGUCUCAGUUCGGAUUGGGGUCUGCAACUCGACCUCAUGAAGUCGGAGUCGCUAGUAAUCGCAGAUCAGCAACGCUGCGGUGAAUACGUUCCCGGGGCU